UGCUCACCUCCAGUACACUACCCUGGAGCACAGACGUUCCCAUAGCAAAAACCCCCUAUGCUCUAAUCAUGAUGUACAAAUAUGCUCACCGGAAAGAAUGAAAAGGAAGACAAUUCUUUUUAAGUAGGAACCAGUGAGGUGACAGUUGAUACAGGAUUAUGGUACCAUCCUCUUAAUUCACCCCAGAAACAAAAGUAGAAAACAUAUCACAUCACAAAGGUUAGGACUCGAGUACAAACACGCCCACUUCUGACCUUUGCACAUGUGAGCUGUAAUGACCACCCAAAAAUCCCAGGCACCCCCGCCACCCCCUGCCGCAGUCUGGAAGGUACCUCUAGGGACAGUUAUCUCCACUCAUACUUCCAGAGUCUGUCUCGCCCCUGCAGCAAAGAAACAAACUCUGGGUAGGAUAGGCAGGGGCUGCCUAUUUUACAUAGUGAGACUAGGCUUUCCAGGACAGUCCCAAUUUUAAAAUGCUGCACAUAUGGGCACACAAACAUUCACCCACCAAGUGGAACUGGAAAAGGCGAUCAAAUCUCGCAUCUUCAACCCUUUACAAAGUUUGGAAUGCAGUCCUACUUUAGAUUAAUUAGGAGAGACUAAUCUCCUUUAGAGAAAAAGUCAGGAGAUAAAAUGGGUGGAAAAAGAAAAGCCAGAAAUUCCACCUAGUUGAUUUUCAGGUUUGGCCUCUGGGGCAACAGCAGCAAACACUCAUCCAGCCCAGGAAGCAACUGGAAAACCAGGGAGGUGGGGAGGAGGAAGAAGCCUGUCUGCCUGGUUUAGUGACCAGAAGAACGAUGACCUUGUGACCAGGAGGCCUCUGAAGUCAGCUCGGAAAACUAAGCCAAGCUCAAAUGAGACAAGCAAAACCAAUUACAGUCGCAGAAUUGACAGGCAACCCCAGGACUAGGUGCGUGAGCACAUGUGCCAGCCCCAGGGCCAGCCCCUGCCCCACGCCCACAGGUCCACAGCCUGCACACGUGAUCCAGGACUUUGCCCUUGCUUUCCCCUAACCAGGAGUGCUCCAGUGAAGUCCACACUAUUAGCCUUCAACAGAAAUGACUUCCUCCCUCACUUCUUCCUCUCACUCAAGACCACAGAAGAUGAUGUUUCAAACCAAAGGUCUGGGUUUUUAAAGCUGUCUCCAGCAGGUGCCACAAGUUCUUCAAAACAUUCCACACUCCCAAACAGACACAAGCAGGAGCACAUGGCUGCUGUGCUCUCACAUGACAACGCAAGGGCACUGUAAUGGAGGGACUUGGUGAAGGCUGGGGACAGGGAGUGGGCAAGGAUAACACUUACCAUCUCAUCCAGGGCGUAGCGCAAGAGGCCGUGCUCGUAAAGGAUGAAGAACCGUCGCUGCCAUUUCUGCAACGGAGCACAAGGUGGGUGGUUAGGAGGAUCUGGGUCCUGGCCCCAGAGCUUGGCUUCUGGAGUUCCCACGUCUGACAAGUCCAUAUCUAAGGAAGGUCACUCCACAGAUUCCACUUCUGGGGCAGGUGGCAGGAAAAGAGGGACCCGAGGCACAAGAAUGUUGAUUCAUCAGCCAGGACUGGGCUGGGAGACAGGCCCAAAUCACAUGAGUGAUUGAGGCUUAAUAAGAAGUCUUUUUUUUUUUUUUUUUUUAACACUUGGAAGCUCCUCAGGAGCAGAAACAACGUGUGGUUACCUUUUUGUAUUCCUGAUGGUGCUCAGCAUAGAAUGCAUCACAUGACAUGUGUCAAUAUUUAUUUGAUGAAUGAUCUGACAUGACAUGGAAUAAUCCAGGAAUGCCAAGGCAUGGAUUCACCACUUCUGAAAAAACCUGGGAAACUGCUACAAAAGGGGUUGUUCUGAUGAUCCACUGGCAAAGAGGAGGCACAAAAACAGCCAGGCUCCAGAAUUCACUGAGGUGAAAUGAGUUAAUGAAAAUCAAAACAGAGGAGCAGCAAGACCAGUGGAAAUAACUCCAAUAUCCAAGGAGUGACCAACUGGCACAGAUCAUCCCCCGCUCUACUCUCCCUCCAAAAGCCAGACCACUGGGAAGUGUCCACGGCGGUCAGAUGCCAUCAGGAGCUGAAAUGAAAUGGACUAUGCGGUGUAUGUCUUCCUUUGUGUGGGGAGAAGGGACUUGUCCAUAAUGCGAGUCUGCUGGCCCAGGUCAUGAAUGACAGGCACAGCUCCCAGCCCCAAAUCAUCACAAGGGUCCAUGACCUAUUUUCAACAUUUCAACAAGCCCAAUCCAGCCUGGGCAGCAUGGUGAAACCCCGUCUCUACAAAAAAUACAAAAAUUAGCUAGGCAUGGUGAUGCACGCCUGUAGCCCCAGCUACUCAGGAGGCUGAGUGGAAGCAAUUUAUAGGGUGCAAGCGGCAGCACUGUAAGAAAGUUUGUGAGGAAGGAGAGUUUUGUAACCGGAGUCAAAUCCAGAGGGGCUUCCUGGCAGAGAAACAAACCACAGGUCAGGCCAAUGAUGGUCCCAGCUCUAGCGGGGCCCUGCCCUGGGCAAUGCACAUUUUAGUAAGAGGUAAGCCAAGGCCUCUGGGCCCCCAACCCUUCACUAGUGCUAGUGUGCUGAACCCCUGGCUCAGGAAGAAGGGAGGUGCUACAGGGGCAGGCCUUGGCAUGGAAGGAAUUGGGAGCUGCUCGGUAUAAUGCAAACCUUUAACUGCUCUUUUGCCUCUUCCAUUUUACUGUUCCUAGAGUCAACCUGACCCACAAAACAGGCAACACCCACAUGAGAGCUCCUCAUUCUGAAGGGAGCACUACACACAACUAUGUAUAAUUGAGACCUUUUCUGUACAACGUACAAGUGCACCAAAUGGGGGAGCCCUGCUGGUCCUGCUAUCCCAGGAUCCACUGUUCAACUCUCCAUCUCCCUCUUCCACUCUGCCAGUUCACCCUUAGAUGGGUCCCUUCUCUGGUUCCUCCCUGAGAGUUGGCUCUGAUGCCCUUACCCGAGACCGGUGCACUGGGUUGUCAAAGUCGG
Molecule: long non-coding RNA, 2966 nt
Filed under: Homo sapiens (human)
Lineage: Eukaryota; Metazoa; Chordata; Mammalia; Primates; Hominidae
Description: HSALNT0237965
Source: RNAcentral